Molecule: ribosomal RNA, 1026 nt
Filed under: Escherichia coli
Lineage: Bacteria; Pseudomonadati; Pseudomonadota; Gammaproteobacteria; Enterobacterales; Enterobacteriaceae
Also listed under: 1 other name
Description: partial 23S ribosomal RNA
Rfam family: Bacterial large subunit ribosomal RNA
Source: RNAcentral
GCCCCGGUAAACGGCGGCCGUAACUAUAACGGUCCUAAGGUAGCGAAAUUCCUUGUCGGGUAAGUUCCGACCUGCACGAAUGGCGUAAUGAUGGCCAGGCUGUCUCCACCCGAGACUCAGUGAAAUUGAACUCGCUGUGAAGAUGCAGUGUACCCGCGGCAAGACGGAAAGACCCCGUGAACCUUUACUAUAGCUUGACACUGAACAUUGAGCCUUGAUGUGUAGGAUAGGUGGGAGGCUUUGAAGUGUGGACGCCAGUCUGCAUGGAGCCGACCUUGAAAUACCACCCUUUAAUGUUUGAUGUUCUAACGUGGGCCCGUAAUCCGGGUUGCGGACAGUGUCUGGUGGGUAGUUUGACUGGGGCGGUCUCCUCCUAAAGAGUAACGGAGGAGCACGAAGGUUGGCUAAUCCUGGUCGGACAUCAGGAGGUUAGUGCAAUGGCAUAAGCCAGCUUGACUGCGAGCGUGACGGCGCGAGCAGGUGCGAAAGCAGGUCAUAGUGAUCCGGUGGUUCUGAAUGGAAGGGCCAUCGCUCAACGGAUAAAAGGUACUCCGGGGAUAACAGGCUGAUACCGCCCAAGAGUUCAUAUCGACGGCGGUGUUUGGCACCUCGAUGUCGGCUCAUCACAUCCUGGGGCUGAAGUAGGUCCCAAGGGUAUGGCUGUUCGCCAUUUAAAGUGGUACGCGAGCUGGGUUUAGAACGUCGUGAGACAGUUCGGUCCCUAUCUGCCGUGGGCGCUGGAGAACUGAGGGGGGCUGCUCCUAGUACGAGAGGACCGGAGUGGACGCAUCACUGGUGUUCGGGUUGUCAUGCCAAUGGCACUGCCCGGUAGCUAAAUGCGGAAGAGAUAAGUGCUGAAAGCAUCUAAGCACGAAACUUGCCCCGAGAUGAGUUCUCCCUGACCCUUUAAGGGUCCUGAAGGAACGUUGAAGACGACGACGUUGAUAGGCCGGGUGUGUAAGCGCAGCGAUGCGUUGAGCUAACCGGUACUAAUGAACCGUGAGGCUUAACCUUACAACGCCGAAG